RNAcentral lists this long non-coding RNA (8110 nucleotides) under Gossypium barbadense (sea-island cotton). RNAcentral describes it as "long non-coding RNA (GBAR_LNC018459)". The record is from RNAcentral. Lineage: Eukaryota; Viridiplantae; Streptophyta; Magnoliopsida; Malvales; Malvaceae.
UUUCAUUAAACCAUUACUAGUACAUCAAUCUCAAGAUAAAAUAACUUAAACAUACGUGAGGAACUCUACCAGGUUUGGCGCAUUAUGCAUAUAGGGCCUCUUCACCUUCGUAGUCCAAGAACGAUCUAAAUUGGGCUCUAAUACCAACCUGUAACACCCCAAACCUGAUAAGAUGAACCAGGUUUGAAUCUUGGGUGUUACCACUCAAAUACAGAUGAAACUUAACUCUACUUACACAAAUUACAAUUGAUUUUAACUACUUAAUUACAAGACUUCAUAAUACAAUACAUAAGUAUAAACAUUGAACAAUUCAGUUAUAUUACAUAGGGAAUUUGAUUACAAGUAUUACUGAAAUGAUGUCAUGUUCUUACGUAGUUAUCCUGAUUCAAGGCUUUCUAUGUGCCAAACAGACACGAUCACGCUAUCAAAGCUUGCUUUGUAUGAAUAAUAAUCUGAUACGCCGCUCCUUUGACAUAGUCUUGGCAUCAUUUCCCCAAGCACAUCUUCACAUUCAUCCUGAAGUAGAAAACAUAAUUCAUGUAAGCUGAUGAGAACUUAGUGGGAAAUAAUCAUUUAUACCUUAGUUGUUAAUUUUGAUAAACGAGCGGAUAGUCCAUCACCAUCAACUCUUUUUCUUAAAUCUUUAACUGAUUGUAAACAAUAUCAAUUUACCAUUAACGAAACAUAUUUCUUCCCUCUAUCUACUAUAUCAUAAUCAAUUUCCCUUAACAUUAUUUCAUCAGUGGCUUCAUCCUUUCAAAACCUUUUCCUUUCAUAUACAUUUUAAUCAUGAUUCCCUUACACACCUUAAACAUUGAACAAUUUCAGUUAUAUUACAUAGGGAAUUUGAUUACAACUAUAACUGAAAUGAUUCUAUGGUCUAAUGUAGUUCUCUCGAUUCGAGGGUUUAUAUGUGCCAAACAAACUCAAUCACGCCAUAAAAGCAUGCUCUGUAUGCAUAAUAAUCCGAUACGUCUCUCCUUUGGCAUAGUCCUAGUAUCGUUCCCUCAAGCCUAGCCUCAAAUUUAACCUGAAGUAGAAAACAUAAUCCCUAUAAGUUCAUGAUAACUUAGUGAGAAAUAAUCAAUUAUACCUUAGUCGUUGAUUUCCAUCACCAUCAAAUCAUUUUUUAAAAUAUUCAAUUAAUUGUCACCAUGAUCAGUUUACCAUUAAUGAAACAUAUCUCUUCCCUUUAUCAACUAUAUCAUAGUAAAAUUCCCUUAACAUUCUUUCAUCAUUGUCUUCAUCCUUUUAGAACCUCUUCCUUUCAUACUCAUAUUAAUCUUGAUUCCCUUACACAAUACCCUUCGUAAAAUGGUGUUUGAAUUCGCUUUCCUUACCUUAUCUUUCUUUGACCACCCUUUCUUCUUACUGUUCACUGUUCGACACCCUUCUUUAAACACUCAAAUGUAGCCUUUACUAAGGUUUGUUCUUUAAAUUUACUUAACCCAUACUCAUAAUUCACCACAUGCUCUGGCGCAUUCCACUUUCUCUGUUUUUGUUUUAAGACCAUGCUAGAUACACCAUAGCAAUCAAUAUGAAGUUCGCCACAAAGGAAGCUCAUCAGAAUAUCUCAUCGAAGGUGUAACAUGAUACGCCACAGUGGUUUUUCCUUCUGAGUUCAUUACAACUAUCGUUCCCUCAAAGUUUGUAUGAAUACCAUUUCUUUCUCUCAGGGUCUACCACAGAAGCAUUGCCUUCAGAUGGUUGCCAAAAUAGCCAUUCUUUAGAGUGGGCCACAAAGCCAUUCCCUUCAUAGAUUUCCAUAAAGGCUUCAUUUUUGUGGCGUGUUCACGAUUGGGAUUCGCCAAGACCCACAUUUCAUGAGGUUUGCCCCUCAUCGUCCUAGAUCACGUAACGAACCCCCUUUUGGGUAAUCACAUUCCUUUAGUACUUUUCCAUAUGAUGAAAUAGUCCUUUUAACUCCACCAUGGUGAAUAGACAUAGACUCACUUGACAGACACUUUGUACAUUGACAUUAUUUAUUAUUCAACACUUAAUUCAUACAAGCAACCAAAAUAUUUCCAGACAUGCCCAUACAACCAUACUUUAACUUCAGGAUUCUUAUCACUUACUUAAACUCGUCAGAUUUCAUACAAACAACACAUGCAAAGUCCAUCAAACAAUCAUGCAAUAGCAUAAUCAUCAUACCAUACUUUCCUAGUUUCAAAUUCAUAGUUUGAUCACUUUCUAUAGAGACACCUUAAAUGCAUAGAAUACAUACAAGAGUUAGCUUAAAGACACGCCUGAUAAUCACGGAUAGCAUCUUGAACCUUAGAUCUAGCGUCCAAUUAGGGAUUCCAACAACCAAUGCCUUAUAAAAUCGAAAAACACCAUUAAAACUCAUUUCAGAUAACCUUGUUAUCAUCUCUAACCUAGAUAACCCAUAUAAAAAGCCUUACUUCUUCCUCUUACGAUUCAUACAUUCUUAAAAUCCUAAUCUUUCAUAAUGCAGGAAGCCAUAAAACUUACCUUGACAUGAAGAAUCAUCCAUAUAAUUCAAGAUUUCAUCUUCAACUCAAAGAAAUAAAUUUUUGCUUCUUAAGCCUAAGGUAACAAUAUUCUAGAAAAAGGAAGAAGAAAACUCUCCUAUCCAAAUCUUAAAUAUCAAUUAAUAUAAUCUAAGUCCCUAUUAGAACUUGAUAAGUGUCAUAUUUUACACUAUUGCCUUAUCUAAAAGUCCACAAGUUUGGAGAAACCUACUUGAGUACCCUUUUAUCUUUUGACUAUUUCGGUUCACAUUUAGUUGGUUACUAUCCAGCUUACCUUGCAACUUAACUUGCACUGUACCACGAAUAAAGGUGUACUAUUCUUCUAUCAUGAACUCCCUCUUAAUACCCUUCCACUUCGUCACUACCUACUCCAAUUGACAUAACAAUCUGACAUAGCAUUUUCAUUACUGAAACAUAUAACUGUAUCCACCCACUCUAUACACCUAAAAUGUAUCUGGGUGAAUAUCACUCCGCCAGUCAUAAUACCUUAAGACUAUUUGUCAAACCUUGUACCCGCCAAAACUGGGCGCUAUACAAAACAUGUAAAGGCAUCAAAGACGCCAUGUCAAACCAACGGAAUCUCCUAAGUAACUCAGGGAGUUUUAUCUCCGUGUAUUAGUUCUUAUUUACCUAUCAAACUAAGAGUUUUCUAUGAGUACUGCUAUAUAGAACCUUACUAAAUUAAUCUGGACUAACUUUUGUAUUGCUCUGAAUGAAAGAUUAAGGAGUGAUUCAAGGAUCAUGGAGGGAUCAAGCCAAACACCGCCAAGUUGCACGAGCGGUGCCAUAUUGUAUCAUGUAUAAAUAUAGGAACCCUUAGAGGCUACUCCUAAGGGGAAAUUGCUUUAUUUUAUCUGCAUUAGAGUCUUGAGUCUCAAGCUAAGGUAAUUAAUUAUUCAUCCUUAAUAGGGGAUAAUGAUUAUAGGGACUGAACACUUGUAAGGUAUAAAAUAUAAUUGAAAUCAAAUUUUAAAUCAGUUAUUAUCUUUGGAUUUGGAUGAGAGUGAUUUAAUAGUAAUGAAUACUUAUUUUAAUAUUGACUAAGUCUGUAAAUCAUCGGAUAGAAAUUUUGUUAAGUAGUUUCAAUUAAUUGUGAUGUUGGGUACCUAGACCUGGAGAUCGGGUCAGGUAUAGGGUGUUACAUCUCUUGCCCCAUUCCUUAGCACUUUUGGAAUGAACACACUAUAACAAUUCCCUAAUCAGAAGCAAAAACAUUAUUAUUUACUUUCUAGAUAUGGCACGAUUAAACUCAACCAUCAUAAUAAAUCUUUAUAAAAACAGAGUCAAUUCGAAUCUAAAGGCAUCACACUAGCAUAGGUUAUUGUCGCAAGUAUUUCUAGGCUCAACACACAUUAUGUUCAAUCCAAGAAUUGAAUAAUUCUCUAGCUCUAAUACCACUAAAUGUAACACCCAUUACCCGACCCGAUAAUCAAGUUUGAUUAAUAGAGUGCCACAUUAGUUGCUGGAGCAACUACUGACAAAUUCACAGUAAAAACAUCCUUCCAUUCUAUCAAUCAUGCAAUCAAUCUAUAAUACAACAUAAAAUAACAUGAACAUUCUUUUUCGGGUCUUAUACGAGCAUACAAAUGCUUUAAAGUCAACUAGAUAUCAAAUAGGGACCUUUUUGUAACAUUUUUAAAAUUUUAGAUCAAGUACAUUACAAAUGAAUCAUUCAGAUAUUCAAUCAUAUCAUGAAAACCUAAAUAUUAUAGUACAAAUUUAAGUCUGAGCCUUACUUGAGCUUACGAAAGCUUUUUUGUAGACCCGAGCAUGAAUUAGGACCAAAUUGCAAGGUUUUGAAAGUUGAGGUUCCACAUCGAGAUGUGACCUUUACUCUGUGAAAUUGCCAAAAUAGUGAGUCACAUCACAAUUUUGGACCACUAGAAAUUGAGACAUCACAAACUUUCUAUCGACGUUGCGACGAUAAGUAUUUCAGGUCAACACGAGGACCCUUUUUUUAUGAAAUUUGUCCAUUUAGUACCUAUUUAAUGCCAAGCCAAACCUUAAGCUUAUUUAGUGCAUAUAUGCACAUCUAAACCUACAAAAAACCAUUUUUAAAGGAAUUCCCAAACAUCCAUUAUUAUUACUUAGUUCAAAAAAUUCUAAGUACCAAUGCAACAUGUCUAAAAUUUUAGCACCAAAACUUAUCAAAACUACUUGCUCAAUCCAAACUUACCUAAGAUACAUAUACCACUUCAAAUCAUCAUAUUUUCAUAGCAUUAUGCAUCAAACCAUACCAUUAAAUCCCAUUCCAAUACAUUAACACACAAUUUCUCAAUCAACCAAACAUUUAUAUACCAUUAAAGUCUCUUAGUAAUCAUUUCACUUGUACACAUUUACACAAUUAAUCAAUUUCAUCAAUAUAACCAUACUAAUUGAGUUUCAAAUUUUCCAUUCAUAAAAUCCAUAUGCAAUAUAACAUAUUACCAAGCUUACACAUAUUUAUACAUGCCCAUAAAUAAGUCCAAAAUAAUAGGGAAAGGGAACUUCUCGACAAUCAAUUUGACAUGUUCUACAAGUUAGCCAUCUACAGGGAAAGGGAAACAACAACGUAAAAAUUACAAAUGUUUAGUAAGUUUACAAGUAUUUAAACAACUUACCUCAAAUUACAACUUAAUUUGAUAAAAUACUAGCUUUACAAGUUUACCUAAAUAUGGAAACCACAUAUCAACAAGGUGAGUAUCAACAUAUAUUGCAUUUUAUAAUAAAUCAAGCAUAUAACAUUCCCAAUAACUUAUAACCAACAUUUAUUGAAUUUGAUAUGAAUUUCAUAUCAUUUUAUAUCUAUUAUCAAUUAUACAUCCAAUUUCAAUAUAAUGUUAUUCACUAUUUCAUUCCAUUAUUCAAAUUUCGAAUCAAAUCAUUAAUUCAUCACAUUUCCGUAUAGGCCCUCUAGGCUUGUAAAAUAAGUUCACAUUAUCUUUUAUAAAUCACAACAUGUAUUUGUAUCAUCCAGUCAUAUGACCAACAAUAUUCGCAUAUGAUUUAUCCCAUUUACACUUUAUACCCCUAUUAACUUAACUUGGACUCGAACGGAUACACGGAUCCAACUAAUCAAACUAGUUUGGCACCCAGUGCCUCAUUAGAUUAUGCUGAAGUAAACAGUUUGUGCCCAAAGGUCAUCAAUGUGUUUGGCACGUAGUGCUUCAUCGGUAUAACCGAAGUAAUUAGGCACCUAGUGCCUCAUCGACACAUAGUUAAAGUAACCCUAAACUCUUCCUAUCCUAUUAUAUGCCAACUAUAUCCAGCUCUACCCAAACAGAUAAUAAGGUAGCAAUUUACUCAAUUUCAUUUAUAAGCCAAUUUCUCAAUUCGAUGCUGUCAUUUCAUCAACCAAUUAUCAAUUUGUAUGUAUAACAUUAUAAUUCAUCUUAGUAUAAAGCUAAUUUUGCAAUUACAACAAUUUACAAUAUUUCCAUAUCUAUUCAAUUUAGUCCUCUCUCUCGAAGAUCAAACAUAAUCAUAUUAACUUGGUUCAAUUUAACAAAUCAACCUCAUACUGCAAAUCAUUAUAUUCAACUCAUUAGUCAAUUUGUCAUUUCUUUAUAAUUUAUCCAUAUCUCACCUUUUUGUACCAAAUCGUAACAAUCCAAAUUUCAAAUAAAUAUAUUUACAAUUAUAAUUUUAAAUAUAUAAAAUUUUAACACAAAUAUGCCAUAUGAACUUACUUGGUCAAAAUAGCAAAUGAUCAAUUCUCUAAGGACUAAUCAGCAAAUAUGUAUUUUUCCCUAAUUAAUUCUAAUUUGGUCCAAUUCGCGAUCUAUACAAUUACUCAAUUCAAUUUAUCAAUUUAAACCGUCUUAUUCAUCCUAUUAUAAACAUAUAUAUGUUUAACUUUACUAUUCAAAUGCCACUUAGACUUUUUUAUUUUAUUCAAUUUAGUCCCUAAAAUUGAAACUGCCAUAAUUUUCACAUUUAAGCCCCGUUUUCAUCCCGAUCUUAGUUUCAUCCCUGUACAACCCUCUAAAUUUAAUAAUUAUAGAAAUUUCAUGUCAAUUUCAAAAUAUUUUUAUUUUAGUCCCUAAAAUCAAAACUAACAAAUUUCACUUUACAAAUUUGUCCUAUUACAUUUCCAAGCUUCAAAUCCUACCAUUAAACAUUAAAAAUAUCAAAAAUCAUCAAUGGAAACAUUUUAAAACUCUAACAAUUUUACGAUUUAAUAUCGUGUCUAACUAGAUUAAGCUACAACGAUCUAAAAACAUAAAAUUUACGAAAAAUGAACUUAAAAUUGGUUUCCAUGCAAAGGCCGAAUCUUGAAAUUGUUUGAAGCUUUCUUCCUCUUCUACAAUGGUGUUCGGAUAGUGGGAGGAUUAGAAUAAAAAAAUUCUCUUCCCACACACUUAUGUUAUCUUUUAUUAUUUUCAUAUAAUAUUAUUUGUUUUAACUAUAAUUAAUAAAACAAAGUAAAAUACCUACUCCAACAUUCCAACAUUCUUAAUAUUGGCUUAAUUGCCCUUUACAACCCUAGAAUUCACUAUAUAUACCUUUAACCAACAAAAAUUCAAUAGAAAUCAAAUUUUACAAUUUUUACGAUUUAGUUUUGUACCCUAAUUAAUCAUCCAAUCACUAAAAUUUCCAAACCAAAAUUCAAUUCACUUAUAUAGCAACUCUUUAAAUAUUUACGAGCUUGAUUACGGAAAUGAGGUCCCGAUACCUCAUUUUCCAAAACCACUGACUUUAAGGUCAAACCACUUGUACUUUAACUAACUAUCUAAUUAGUAGAUUUAUCAUAUCAAAGUUCAAUAUAACUUUACAAUAGACUUGUAAAUAUUAAUUAAGAAAAUUUACGGACUCGAUUAUCGGAUAACGAGAUUCCAAAACCACCAUUUUUGACACCACUAACUUUCGGGUCAUUACAUCUCUCUUUGACUUGUUGUGAUACCACAAAGGCCAAGUACAGAUAUUUGGGCCCCUGGAGAUAAAAUUCAAUCCAAAAACACUCUAAAACAUCACCAAUCACUACCUUAACAUAUCAUUAUCAUAUGUUUUCAACCAUUACAUAUUCAUUUCAUAAAUUCAAUAAAUCCAACAUCUUAAAUCAUGGACAUUUUAACAUAUUCAUUAACAUGUUUAUAUUCAUAUUAAUAUCACCAUUUUACUAUUCCCUUAAACAUAUUAACUUAGGAAAAGUAAGGUUAUCCAAGGAUACUCACCUCUUGGAUGCAUUUUUACUCAAAAUCAAGCUUCCAAGUACUUGAAUCCAUCCUCCUCCUAGCUUGAAUAUCCAAUAACCAUCAUUUCCUCAUUUUUUUCAUACACCAAAAGUAAACUAACAUUAACAUAUUUCAAAUUUUUCUUAUACAAAAAAUCUCAAAUACUGAGCUAAAAGAAGUGGACAACAUCAUUACAAACAUUUAUAAAGCUUUCUCUUUCUAGGUUCUAUUUUCUCUCUCUAAUACUCAUGAAAGCCCUUGUUGAAAAUGUGUCGGGGGUUAAAGGUGUUAAUGACUUUAUAAGGUAGUUUUUCAAGUGAUUUGAACAAAAUCCCAAAGUUUGGGUGUUGAGUUUUGGACAAAUUUCAUGAAAACGUAAGGAAAAUGAGAGAAGAAGAAGAGUCUCACUAUGGGAGGGCUGGCCGGCUACAACGGGCUGAAUGGGAGGUCUUUUUUCCUCUCUUU